Long non-coding RNA from Oncorhynchus nerka (sockeye salmon), 5007 nucleotides. RefSeq lists it as uncharacterized. NCBI's taxonomy places the organism in Eukaryota, Metazoa, Chordata, Actinopteri, Salmoniformes, Salmonidae. The transcript has 2 exons. The record is from RefSeq and is a predicted model, not a curated record.
UUGUCACAACACAAUUGAUUGGCUCAAACACAUUAAGAAGUAAAGAAAUUCCACAGCAAACUUUUAACAAGGCACAUCUGUUAAUUGAAAUGCAUUCCAGGUGAAUACCUCAUGAAGCUGGUUGAGAGAAUGCCAAGAGUGUGCAAAGCUGUCAUCAAGGCAAAGGACGGCUACUUUGAAGAAUCUAAAAUAUAUUUGGAUUUGUUUAACACUUUUUUUGUGUGGGGGGGAUUACUACAUAUAUACUGUAUUCUAUUCUACUGUAUUUUAGUCAAUGCCACUCCGACAUUGCUCGUCCAAAUAGUUAUACAUUUCUUAAUUCCAUUAUUUUACUUUUGGAAUUGUGUGUAUUGUUGUGAAUUGUUACUAGUGCGCUGUUGGAGCUAGGAAGACAAGCAUUUCGUUACACCCGCAAUAACAUCUGCUAAAUAUGUGUAUGUGACCAAUAAAACGUGAUUUGAAUUUUUUUUUAAAAUUGGUUAAUUAAUGAAUAUAAAGUGUGACUGUUCAUGUGUAUCAUGUCACCAGCCAGAGACUGUAGGUUUGGAAUGACAUAUAAAUAUUUCUGAAGCACCUCCCGGCUAAAGCAACCCUCAGAUGUGCGAGUGCUUUUAAUUUAUAAGAGACAGUUGGAAAACAAAGACAAAUCAGUAAAAAAAUAAUUGACAUUCAGUUGACAUUCUGGCAGUCAACAGGGUUAUGACAGUGUCAUAUGAGGUGGACAUGUCAACACUGUACUUAUAGUAGAUGUCAUGGUUCUGUAAUGUGUUUAAGACAGAUAAGGGCUUCUCAAGCUUUCUACCCAACUCUGGAAAGUUCUCUAACUAAAGUACAGUCUGAGCAAACAUCCAUUCACCAGAAAAAAACAGGCAAACAAAGAAAUGUAUGCAUUUAAAGAAGUGAAAUAUCAGGGGCAUAUUUAUUUAGCCAAUGACUGAAAGAGUUAAAGGGGCAAUCUAAGCCUCUAAACCUUCAAGCUGCAUACUGGACCCUAUUCCAACUAACCUACUGAAAGAGCUGCUUCCUGUGCUUGGCCCUCCUAUGUUGAACAUAAUAAACGGCUCUCUAUCCACCGGAUGUGUACCAAACUCACAAAAGUAGCAGUAAUAAAGCCUUUCCUGAAAAAGCCAAACCUUGACCCAGAAAAUUUUAAAAAACCUAGCGGCCUAUAUCGAAUCUUCCAUUCCUCUCAAAAAUGUUAGAAAAAGCUGUUGCGCAGCAACAAAGACAAUGUAUACAAAAUGCUUCAGUCUGGAUUUAGACCCGAUCAUAGCACUGUGACUGCACUUGUGAAGGUGGUAAAUUACCUUUUAAUGGCGUCAGACCGAGACUCUGCAUCUGUCCUUGUGCUCCUAGACCUUAGUGCUGCUUUUAAUCGCCACAUUCUUUUGGAGAGAUUGGAAACUCAAAUUGGUCAACACAGACAAGCUCUGGCCUGGUUAGGUCUUAUCUGUCGGAAAGAUAUCAGUUUGUCUCUGUGAAUGGUUUGUCCUCUGACAAAUCAAAUGUAAAUUUCGGUGUUCCUCAAGGUUCUGUUUUAGGACCACUAUUGUUUUCACUAUAUAUUUUACCUCUUGGGGAUGUCAUUCGAAAACAUAAUGUUAACUUUAACUGCUAUGCUGAUGACAAACAGCUGUACAUUUCAAUGAAACAUGGUGAAGCCGCAAAAUUGCCCUUGCUAGAAGCCUGUUUUUCAGACAUAAGGAAGUGGAUGGCUGCAAACGUUCUACUUUUAAUCUUGGACAAAACAGAGAUGCUUGUUCUAGGUCCCAAGAAACAAAGAGAUCUUCUGUUGAAUUUGACAAUUAAUCUUGAUGGUUGUACAGUCGUCUCAAAUAAAACUGUGAAGGACCUGGUCGUUACUCUGGACGCUGAUCUCUCUUUUGACGAACAUAUCAAGACUGUUUCAAGGACAGCUUUUUUCCAUCUACGUAACAUUGCAAAAAUCAGAAACCUGUCCAAAAAUGAUGCAGAAAAAUUAAUCCAUGCUUUUGUUAGACUACUGCAAUGCUCUACUUUUCGGCUACCCGGAUAAAGCACUAAAUAAACUUCAGUUAGUGCUAAAUACGGCUGCUAGAAUCCUGACUAGAACCAAAAAUGUUGAUCAUAUUACUCCAGUGCUAGCCUUCCUACACUGGCUUCCUGUUAAGGCAAGGGCUGAUUUCAAGGUUUUACUGCUAACCUACAAAGCAUUAUGGGCUUGCUCCUACAUAUCUUUCCGAUGUGGUCCUGCCGUACAUACCUACCCUACGGUCACAAGAUGCAGGCCUCCUAAUUGGCCCUAUAAUUUCUAAGCAAACAUCUGGAGGCAGGGCUUUCCCCUAUAGAGCUCCAUUUUUAUGGAAUGGUCUGCCUACCCAUGUGAGAGACGCAGACGCAGACUCGGUCUCAACCUUUAAGUCUUCACUGAAGACUCAUCUCUUCAGUAGGUUGAGUGUAGUCUGGCCCAGGAGUGUGAAGGUGAACAGAAAGGCUCUGGAGCAACGAACCGCCCUUGCUGUCUCUCCCCUCUCUCCACUGGGAUUCAAUGCCUCUAACCUUAUUACAGGGGCUGAGUCACUGGCUUACUGUUGCUCUUCCAUGCGUCACUUGAGUGGGUUGAGUCACUGUCAUGAUCUUCCUGUCCGUGGGUUGUGCCGUGGCGGAGAUCUUCGUGGGCUCGGCCUUGUCUCAGGAUGAGGACCUGAGCCUUAGGACCAUGCCUCAGGACUACCUGGCAUCAUGACUCCUUGCUUUCCCCAGUCCACCUGGUCAUGCUGCUGCUCCAGUUUCAACUGUUUUGCCUACGGCUAUGGAACCCUGGCCUGUUUACUGGACGUGCUACCUGUCCCAGACCUGCUGUUUUCAACUCUCUAGAGACAGCAGGAGCGGUAGAGAUACUCUCAAUGAUCGGCUAAGAAAGCCAACUGACAUUUACUCCUGAGGUGCUGACUUGUUGCACCCUCGACAACUACUGUGAUUAUUAUUAUUUGACCAUGCUGGUCAUUUAUGAACAUUUUAACAUCUUGGCCAUGUUCUGUUAUAAUCUCCACCCGGCCACCCCUCAUAGCCUGGUUCCUCUCUAGGUUUCUUCCUAGAUUUUGGCCUUUCUAGGGAGUUUUUCCUAGCCACCGUGCUUCUACACCUGCAUUGCUUGCUGUUUGGGGUUUUAGGCUGGGAUCCUGUACAGCACUUUGAUAUAUCAGCUAAUGUAAGAAGGGCUAUUUAAAUACAUUUGAUUUGAUUUGAUUUUGUGUAGCCUAAAAACAUGGUCACAACUGUAAUUAUAGUAUCAUGGAUGGUCAGUCCUUUUAUCCAUUGCUUUGUCCAUGAGUUUAAGAGUGAUUACAUUUCUCCAGCCCCGUCCCUCAGUGGUGGGGUGAACACUUUGUUAUUGUUGGAACUGCAUAGUUCCCCUUUAAGUACUGCACAUGUAAUAUUUUACUUAUUCAAGAUGGUUUAGAUCCCAAAUGUUUAGGUGCAAUUAGUCUAUAGAAUCUGUAUGAUUUAGAGAUGUGUGUAUAAUCACAGAUUAUGGUAAAUAACGUUAUACUGUAAGGGCUUGAUUUCUCCUUCUGUGAUGGUUGAACGGCUCAGCAUGUCUUUGGCCAAAAUAUGUAAAUAUAUGGAGUCAGCACUUCUUUUAACAGAAUCAUCUUAUAACCUCCUGUGAGGACUGGUGGGAAACACAGCAAUAUAGUAAUCCAUCAUCCUACAUCUCAUUAUUAUUGUCUAUGUAAAGACAAUUGCUCCUUAUCAUAUUUCAAAGAGAGGCCGGUUCACCUAUAGAGCUGCUUCUCCUUUAGAAGUGGUUAACUAGCUGCUUGGGUGGUGGCGUUCUGCUGAAAACGGAUGAUGGAGGAAACGAGGCUUAAAGGAAACAUGACUAUUGACAAAAGCUUUCGCAUAAACGUUAACAUAACACUGAGUCUGAACUCAAAAUAUGGAAAGUGUACUGGCGGAGUGUUGUUUCAACACGGCAUCCUGUCAUUGUAAGACUGGACUUGAUGGAAGAAAAGAGGAAAAGCAAACGGGCCAUCCGAAUCAGGCUCUUGUUUGGUCUCUUCUUACAAAAAUACAUUCCAUAUGUUUGUCUUUAUUUUCAUGUUAUAAAAUACCACAUUCCUAUGGGUCAUAUACAGUACAAUAGCGAAGAAACAACUGUUGCUUAGUGAAACUCUGCUGUUAAAAUUGAAAUAUUAUUGAAUGUUGAAUAAACGUUCCCCUUUAGUCAUUCUAGUAAUGAAUGACCUUGAACUUAUCAUGCUCAUAUCAGCACAGACAUAGGAUAUGUAUGUCUUUAUUUUCAUGGAAUUAAAAAAUGUCACAUUCUGGAAACUGUACAAUGGUGAAGAAACACUUAGCAAAGCUUUGUUAAAUAUUGUUGAAUAUAUCUUGACCUUUAGUCAGUUUAGGAAAGACGGACCGCCUUGUACUCAUCACACUCAGAGCAGCCAAUCAGUCAGACAGCUUCAUGUGGUUCCAGCUACUGGUCUUUGAAGUAAGAUUUCCUAUAGACAUCAGUUUAUCUUUCUGGUACCAGGGCAUACCUCACAUUCAUAAGAGGCCACCCAUGAAGACCUUCAUUUAUGUAUGUUUUGGUAUAGGUGGUUGGGGGGUGAACUUAAAUCCGGUGCACAAUACAUAUAUAGUACCGGUCAAAAGUUUGGACACCCCUCAAUCAAGGGUGUCACGUUCUGACCUUUAUUUCCUUUGUUUUGUCAUUAUUUAGUAUGGUCAGGGCGUGAAUUGGGGUGGGCAGUCUAUGUUUGUUUUUCUAUGAUUUGGGGAUUUCUAUGUUUCGGCCUAGUAUGGUUCUCAAUCAGAGGCAGGUGUCAUUAGUUGUCUCUGAUUGAGAAUCAUACUUAGGUAGCCUGGGUUUCACUGUGUGUUUGUGUGUGUUUGUUUCCGUGUCUGUGUUUUUCACCACACGGUACUGUUUUGGGUUUCGUUCAUUCCACGUUUAUUGUUUUUGUAUUCAGUUGUUCAUGUGUACUAUUUCUUAUUAAAAGAACCAUGGACACUUAC